AUAUGUUGAGUAUCUACUAGGAAAUACUCCGAAACCGCUGUUGAUAAAUGAGAAAAUAUCCCCAUUUAAUGCAUCACAUCUGCGCGACAUUUUUCUUGAAAUGAAACUGGUUUCCUUGUAGAGUGCUUCUUCCCCCAAGCCCUUACUUAAAUCUUUUUUCCUCUUUGGAUGUUUCUUGCGCUACAUGACUGGGCGUGUGCGAUUCUGGCGGUGCCAUUCCAAUAAUCGCUCAUGCAGUUAAUCGAAAAUGAUUGAUACUAAUUUAAAUCUACGCAUUCCAAGCGGAGAAGUAGGUUAACUAUGAUUUUUCAGAAGUUGAGAGCAUAAUCGCAAAAAAAACCGAAAAAUAUUAGUACUGACCAAACACAUCAGAGUCGAUCCUGUUUUUUCUCUGUAUUUAUUGCAGUAUGAAAUGAAAACCUGGCUAGCAAAAAAGAAAAAGGU
Molecule: small RNA, 444 nt
Filed under: Histoplasma capsulatum
Lineage: Eukaryota; Fungi; Ascomycota; Eurotiomycetes; Onygenales; Ajellomycetaceae
Also listed under: 1 other name
Description: hypothetical RNA
Source: RNAcentral